Molecule: ribosomal RNA, 500 nt
Filed under: uncultured bacterium
Lineage: Bacteria
Description: bacterial SSU rRNA
Rfam family: Bacterial small subunit ribosomal RNA
Source: RNAcentral
AGUAGUUGACUCUGGACUCAGGACACGCUGGCGGCGUGCUUAACACAUGCAAGUCGAACGAUGAAAGAGAAUCCGAUCUCUUCGGAGUGAAGAAUCUCUGGAUUAGUGGCGGACGGGUGAGUAACGCGUGAGCAAUCUGCCUUACACAAAGGGAUAGCCUCGGGAAACCGGGAUUAAUACCAUAUGAUAUCUACGUCACCGCAUGGUGAUUAGAUUAAAGAGAUUCGGUGUAAGAUGAGCUCGCGUCCCAUUAAUUAGUUGGUGAGGGUAACGGCCCACCAAGAUAGCGAUGGGUAGCCGAUCUAAGAGGAUGACCGGCCACAUUGGAACUGAGAAACGGUCCAAACUCCUACGGGAGGCAGCAGUGGGGAAUAUUGCACAAUGGGGGAAACCCUGAUGCAGCGACGCCGCGUGAGCGAUGAAGGCUUUCGAGUCGUAAAGCUCUGUCCUAUGGGAAGAUAAUGACGGUACCAUAGAAGAAAGCCCCGGCUAAUUACGUG